AAGCUAUAUUUAGAAUCACACACCACUACAUGAAUUUUUCUUGAAACAGUACAAAUUAGCUCACGGUGAGCUUGUCUGGAUUUUCAUGUAGCAGCAUUCACGACGUAGAGUCAGAGAGAUGGGGGUUUUGCAAGGAAGCUGUUUGAUGAAAUGCGUGAAAGGGAUUUGGCGUCGUGGAAUUCGAUAAUUCAGGGAUAAUUGGGCGUGUAAUCGAGAAACAGAUGCAACUCAGUUCAGUUCAUAUAUUGGUUUUUGCUUUGGAUUGAUAUUUCACUUCUCCCGUGAUCUUGAUUUAGGAUAUGGAUGGAUGAGGGAUUGGGAUUUCAGCAUUAAGAUCAAGCAUUGAUUCAUGGUGAAUUGGGGGCAAAAUAUCAUCAAAGAGGCUGCUUUCAGGGGCAAUGUAGCCAAAAGUUCCAGCUAUGUUUGAUGCUGUUUCUGUAUCACCAUGCCUGUUAAGCAAUUUUGAUAGUCCAAAAUCUGCUAUUUUUGCAUUGAGUUCCGAGUCCAGUAAUAUGUUCCUCGACUUGAUAUCCCGGUGUAUGAUAGUCGGGGAGCAGUCGUGGUGCAUAUAGCACAGUCCUUGUGCUGCUCCAAUGGCGAUAUGCAGCCUCAUCGGCCACUCCAAUUUGGUGACUGAACUACUACCAACGGGUGAUAUCUCCUUGUUUUUUCCAUGCAGCCACUGAUGAAGGCUCUUGUUCUCGACAUAUUGGUAGACAAGAAGCUUCAAUUCUUUGCUUGAGAGAUAGCAUAAAAGCUUUACUAUGUUGUUGUGCCAUAUGGUCCCCAGUGUCUUGAUCUCUGCCAGGAAUUCCUUCUCGAGGCCGCAGUCUGAUUUUCUGGGAUUCACUAUACUCUUGACAGCAACAACAUUGCUUCCUUCAUUAAUGUAAACUCGAUACACUUUUCCCGAUCCUCCAUACCCGAUGAGAAGGACUGGCUGGCCAGAUUUGCUCGCGUCUUGAAGCUAUGGCCUCACGCCUCUUGAGCCACCAUCUUCUUACCAAGUAGAAAAGUAUUGCAAAUCCUACCACCCAACAACCAACUGCCCAUACUGUCAUUAUCAUAAAAUGCCUCUCUGAUUCAUCAUGUUUGGAUUGACAUAUCAGAUAUUUUCGAAUUAUUUUAGCAGAGCACAAGCUUGGAGGGCAACUAGGUAGACGAGUUGUCUCGUUGUCAGAACAGAGGUUGGAAAGAUCAAAGCAAUUCUCAUGAAAGAACCGAUUCACUAAUUCAUAUGGUACCUUCCCUGAGAACUUGUUAGAGCAGAGCUUGAGUACACUCAUCGACUUCAAAGGAAUCGUAUCUUUUACAUCCCCAUCAAGCAAAUUCAUCGACAGAUCCAAUGAUGUGAGUUUGAACAAAUUCUUUAUAUCAUUGGGGAUCGAUCCAUGCAAGUAAUUUUGAGAGAGAUCAAGAACUUCUAACCUUACUGCUUCUAUAGGCGUGGGUAUCGCCCCGAUCAAUCUGUUUCCAUGCAGCCAUAAAUGGCUUAGCCUUUUAUGCAACAGAAGCUCACCUGGGAUCGUCCCAGACAGUUGGUUCAUGGACAGGUCCAACCUCACAAGUUUUGAGCAGUUGUAUAGGCUGGCAGGCCGGCGACUUUACCAAAGGCGCAUUCGACUUCUGGCCAAUCACAUAAGGAUGAGGUCGAAUUCCACCAACGAAGAGAAGAGGGAGUGUCCCAAUGCUGUUUCAAGCUCAAAAGAAUAGCCUGCUCAGAAAACAAGUCUUGUGAAUAUACUUGAAGGUUGAGACGAAUUAGCAGGAUGAUGAGAAUAAGAGUGCCAUGGAGGGAGACUGCGUCAGAACCUAAUAAAAUCGCAUCAACAACAGUUCUCUUCACCCGUGCUUAAACUGGUGCUUUUGGUAUGGGAUAUCAGUUGAUGAGGAAUUGGAAUUUCAGCAUUAACAUCAAGCAAUGAUUCAUGAGAGAAUUGGAGGCAAAGUAUCAUCAACUGAUGCUGCUUUAAGGUAAAUUUUAUCCCAAGACCUUGAUCUGAUUCUGGUACUACAAUUUGGCGCUUCAUUGAACAACGUUGAAGUUCAGAUAAAGGCAUGAUUUGAUACAUACGACUUAGGUUUUUUUACAAUCAGAUAGCUUGAAAGUCAUUGGACUAGAAGUUCAAGAAAAAUGGCUUUCUGCAAUUCUGUAGAAUGUGCAAACAAUCCUUCAUGGAUGGUCUAUUAGAAGGUGAUGUAGCACUACAAAAGACUCCUAGCUUAAAAACAGUUAUUAUUUGGUCCAAGAAUCUUGAGUCCUUGAUCUCAUCAUCUAGUGCAUCAAUAAUGGCGUUUGUAUCUCUGGACUGUAGGUGUGCCCUUCGUGCUAGGUUUAUAUGAUCUCCAUGAGUAACCGCCUCUCUUCCUGUAGUCAGUUCAAGUAGAACCACUCCAAAGCUAUAAACAUCGGUCUUUCUGUUCACUUUAGAUGUGUAGGCAUACUCUACAAUUCAUGAUUUACAAGAUUUAGUAUAUAUAUUAAAAAUAAGAAUCAACUUAAAGAUGGUGGAGUUUGUAUAAUGCAUACCAGGGGCGAUGUAGCCAAAAGUUCCAGCUAUAUUUGAUGCUGUUUCUGUAUCACCAUGCCUGUUGAGCAAUUUUGAUAGUCCAAAAUCUGCUAUUUUUGCAUUGAGUUCCGAGUCCAGUAGUAUGUUCCUCGACUUGAUAUCCCGGUGUAUGAUAGUCGGGGAGCAGUCGUGGUGCAUAUAGCACAGUCCUUGUGCGGCUCCAAUGGCGAUAUGCAGCCUCAUUGGCCACUCCAAUUUGGUGACUGAACUACUACCAACAGGUGAUAUCUCCUUGUUUUUGCCAUGCAGCCACUGAUGAAGGCUCUUGUUCUCGACAUAUUGGUAGACAAGAAGCUUCAAUUCUCUGCUCGAGAGAUAGCAUAAAAGCUUUACUAUAUUGUUGUGCCAUAUAGUCCCCAGUGUCUUGAUCUCUGCCAGGAAUUCCUUCUCGAGGCCGCAGUCUGAUUUUCUGGGAUUCACUAUACUCUUGACAGCAACCGCAUUGCUUCCUUCACUCAUAUAAACUCGAUACACUUUUCCCGCUCCUCCAUACCCGAUGAGGUUUUCAUCUGUCAAACUUGACAAGAUUUCUGCUUUAUUGAAGUCCAGCCUCUCAAACGUAAUCAUCUUCCAUUCAUCUUCUUCACCCACAGAAGGACCGGACUCAACGGUCUCUCUCUUAAGCCAGCAUUUUCUUACCAAGUAGUAAGUUAUUGCAAAUCCUACAACCCCACAACCAACUAACAUUACUAUCUUUAUCACAAAAUGCCUAUUUGAUUGACUCUUUGUCCCGUUGUCAGAAACGAGAUUGAAACGAUCGAAGCAAUGCUCGUGCAAGAACUGCUUCACAAUCUCGUAUCGCACCUUCCCAGAGAAUUUGUUAGAGCAGAGCCGGAGUACUCUUAUGGACCUCAGAUUGACCACAUUUUCUAUGUCUCCAGAUAACUCGUUAUGUCUCCAGAUAACUCGUUAGCAGACAAAUCCAAGUUGUCCGGAGAUGGCAUUGUAACCAAGAGACAGAUAAACAAGCAGACGCAUUUGGAACAGUCCCAUGGGGAUUGUCCCACGAAGAGAAUUCAUCGAAAAAUCCAAGAAUUUGAGUCUGAACAAGUUCUUCACAUCAUCAGGGAUCGAUCCAUUCAAGUAAUUAUGAGAGAGAUCAAGAACCUCUAACCUUACUGCCUCUACCGGUGUUGGUAUCGCCCCGACCAAUCUGUUUCCGUGCAGCCAUAAAUGGCUCAGCCAUUUAUGCAAGAGAAGCUCACCCGGGAUCGUUCCAGACAGCUCGUUCAUGGACAGGUCCAAGCUCACCAGUUUUGAGCAGCUGUAGAGGCUGACAGGUAUGUCUCCGUGCAAGAGAUUUCGAGACAGGUUGAUUGAAACGAGGUUUUCGAGCAGACAUAUCGUUGGUGGAACUGUUCCUCUUAUGCUCUUUUCUGCUAGUUUCAGACCGGUGGCUGAACCAGAGAUGCAUUCGACUUCUGGCCAGUCGCAUACAGAUGAUGUCGAAUUCCACCAACGAAGCGAGAGGGGGCUGCCCCAAUGCUGUUUCAAGCUCAACAGAAUAGUCUGCUCAGAAGAUGAGUUCUGUGAGUUUACUUGAAGGUGGAGAGGAAUUAGCAGGAUGAAGAGGAGAAAAAGGGCCAUGGCUGCAAAAAAAAAAAAUGGUUUUCUUGAAUUAUAUGAUAUUUCAAGUCUUGCACAUUAGUUACAAUUAUUUCAUUAUAACAACCACAGGUUCAAGUCAAGUCAA
Long non-coding RNA from Salvia miltiorrhiza (redroot sage), 4263 nucleotides. RefSeq lists it as uncharacterized. NCBI's taxonomy places the organism in Eukaryota, Viridiplantae, Streptophyta, Magnoliopsida, Lamiales, Lamiaceae. The transcript is spliced from 7 exons. The record is from RefSeq and is a predicted model, not a curated record.